CUGAAGUCCCAACUACUCAGGUGGCUGAGGUGGGAGAAUCGCUUGAACCUGGGAGGUUGAAGCUGUAGUGAGCUGUGAUCACGCCAUUACAGUCCGGCCUGGGUGACAGAGUGAUACUCUGUCUCAAAAACAAAAACAAAAAAACAACUAUUUCAGGUGUAGCAGGUUGAAUUGUGUUCCCCCAGAAGAUACAUCCGAGUCUUAACCCCAGUGGUCCUAGGAAAACUAACACAGCAGGCUUAUGCUGAUGGAGCAGAUGCAAGCCUGUGAGCCAGCACGGAUUUCCCAGGAACGUUGCUGUUCGCUAGGCCACGUGCUGGCCUCACAGCUGGUGAUGAGAAGGCGAAGACAGAGUCAGCUUAACCAAGGCACUGUGGGCUCUGUGAAAGCCUUUGGCUUCAUCUUAUGCACCAGAACAGGCCACUGAAGGGCUGUUAAGGUGAGUUCUGUGCUUUAGAAAAAGAACUUGAGAGUGUGGGGGUAGUAGGAAGAAUGGGUUGUAAUAGGGGAACUGGAGAAAUGUCAGUUAGGACAGAGUUUCAACUGGGAAGUGUUUGGCCCCCGUACUGAAUACCUUAAAAUCUUGGCCAGAACCCUGUGAUGUCUGAAGAAGAAAA
This 617-nucleotide long non-coding RNA is filed under the name Homo sapiens (human). RNAcentral's name for it is "HSALNT0153963". Lineage: Eukaryota; Metazoa; Chordata; Mammalia; Primates; Hominidae. The record is from RNAcentral.